GGCGACAUGGCCGAGCGGUCUAAGGCGCUAGAAUCAGGCUGUGGAGAAGUAGUAUCUAUCACCUUAUCUAGUCCUUCGGGGCGUGAGUUCGAAUCUCACUGUCGUCA
This is a non-coding RNA of Termitomyces sp. Mi166#008, 107 nucleotides long. NCBI's taxonomy places the organism in Eukaryota, Fungi, Basidiomycota, Agaricomycetes, Agaricales, Lyophyllaceae. The record is from the annotation of a GenBank genome assembly.